RNAcentral lists this non-coding RNA (26 nucleotides) under Mus musculus (house mouse). Lineage: Eukaryota; Metazoa; Chordata; Mammalia; Rodentia; Muridae. The record is from RNAcentral.
UAUCUUCGACGCUUUUCCACACUUUC